GCUGCUCUGCAGUCCUUAUUUUUAUGGCCUUCACUCUCCUCGUUAUUCCGGACCUGGCGCCUUUGAAAGUGCUUGGAGCCCCUUGUUUUCUAACACUCUCUACAUAAACUAUCUCUAUUUGCCCCUUCUGUCUACCUUGUGAAGCUGCUUUCUCUUUUCUUGCUAUGAAGCCCUUCUUUCUAUACUGCGGGGACCUGAUUUUGCCCUUCAGGGUGGACUUCUGUUCCGCUACAGCCUGUAGUCAGGCUCGCAGCGCGGUGCUUCUGCUCUGCCCCGGCUCGUAGGAGCAGCAGUGCGGGCAGCAGAGCAGGAGGUGCCCGUCCGUCUGUGUGGCGCUGCUGGGGCCGCAGCUCAGUGCUGCGCUCCGCGUUGGCCCCUCACUGCCAGAGAGACACUGUGGCCCUGCAGCGUGUCCAGAGAGCGGAGCGGUGCUACGGUGGACGGUCGCGCCGGACGAUGUUGGAGGUCUUUUCCAGCCGUGCUGACUGUGUGACUCAUGAACUGCUCUCUGUCUGGCCAGGCUCCGGAUGCAGUGAGCUGAGACAGAACAGGCGCCGCGUGCUCUGCGUGGCUUUGUGUGCAGUGCCGUGCAUCCUUGUUUCGGUGCUGGUGGCCGUGAUAGGUGAGUGCCCCCCGCAUCCCCACGGAGACGCACAGCCCCCAUCCCACCUCCUGGGCUGCCCACGUGGUGCCCCAAAGCACCUUCUGCUCCAACUCCCGGCCUCUGCAACCGCUCCGAGGGCAUCGCCCCGUGGCCGUGCAUCCCAACCCCACAUCAGCUGCAGGGGAACGUCCUUUGCCUCCCACUUGCCCAACUCUCUCCCUGUCAGUGCUCCAGCGUCCGUCGUGCUCACCUCGCCCACCCUUCUCCCACGUGUGCCCCAACGCCUGGGUCGGUUUCCAAGGGAAAUGCUAUUACUUCUCGUACACGGAGAGCGAUUGGAACAGCAGCAGGGAGCACUGCCACCGCCUCGGAGCUUCCCUGGCUACCGUAGACACGGAGGAGGAGAUGGAAUUCAUGUUGGGGUACCGGCGCCGGCAGACCGUUGGAUUGGGCUGCACAGGGCAGAAGGGGCCGAGCACUGGACAUGGGCCGAUGGCAGCGCCUUCAGCAACUGGUUUGAGCUGCGAGGCGGAGGCCGAUGUGUGUACCUGAAUGGGGACCGGAUCAACUCAACCCUCUGCCACAGCGAGAAGUUCUGGGUGUGCAGCAGAGCCGACAGCUACGUCCUCUGAAGGAAGGGGACAAAUCCGCAGUGACGGAUCCCAUCCCAGGCAGCUCGUGCCAACGCUGCUGGGCACUCCGUGCCAUCCGUGUGUGCUGGAGUCCGCCUCUUUCCAGCACUGCUACGCUUGUGUUUCUUGUAUGGACUCUGCCAGCUGUGCUGCUCGCUGUCUCUCAGGAAACACAGCUGUUGCACUGUGCCUUAAAGGGGGUGAAGGGCAAAAUGAGGUCCCUGUAGUACAGAAAGAAGGGCCUCAUAGCAAGAAAAGAGAAAGCAGCUUCACAAAGCAGACAUAAGGGGCAAAUAGAGAUAGUUUAUGUAGAGAGCAUUAGAAAACAAGGGGUUCCAAGCACUUUCACAGGCGCUAGGUCCAGAAUAACGAGGAGAGUGAAGGCCAUAAAAAUAAGGACCAGAGAACAGCUCGAAAACAUUUGGCAGGGAGGUGAUGAGAUUUCUGAAGUGUGAGCUGAAAGCGGUUCGGGGGAUGCCCCCCCUUCGGGGGGCAUACCUGAAUGGGGACGGGAUCAGCUCAGCCCUCUGCCACAAGGAGAAGUUCUGGGUGUGCAGCAGAGCCGACAGCUACGUCUGCUGGAGGAAGGAGAAAUACCCAGAAUGACAAAUCCCAUCCGCACCAAGCUCGUGCCAACACUACUGGUCUCUGUGAUGCCACUGGUGUAUACUGGAAUCUGCCUCUUUCCAGCACUGCUGCAGCGGUUCCUGCAUGGAUCCACACAACUCUGCUGGUCGUUAUCUCUCAGGCGCUAUGUCUGUUCCUGUGUGCCUUAAAGGGAGGGUCUUCUGAGGGUCCUUAGAGGUCGCAGCAGCUUGGAAGGAUCCCACGGUGCUGCCCCACUGCGGCCGGACCCGAGGGCGGGGGUAUUCCUGCUCUCCUUUCGGGCUCUGUGUGACACUGCGGUGCCACCACCAUGUCACAUCGCGCUUCCAUCGCUGCCAGCCACUGUCUGACUUUGGCUCUGGGCAGUGAUGUAUGGAAUCAAACUCUUUAACCUAUCUAAGUUAAAUAGGUUAUAAGGCUGUACCUCAUUGUGAACUUCCGAGCUUUUAAGGGGGGUGUAGCCCAAACCAGCUUGUAUUGCUGUGUUGAGCUGAGGCAUAUCUUUACUGUCCUGUCUCAACAACGGGGAAUCUCUCCUCUGUUCUUGUUGUUUGGCAUCGAGUUUCUGCGGACUUGAGCUGAUGUGUACACAAGGACCUUGUCCUUCUGCUUGUAUCCACUCAAGUUAUGUGAAAAAGGCCGUUCUCAAAAUAUGGAAAAGCUGUCGUCACGACUCAGUCCACCCUUUUCUAUAUCCCAGGCAAAUCCUUCUGUCUGCAACGCACUGUUGUCCAUUAACACCGUCCUGAAUUACUCUCCUGGUUCCCUCCGGUGCCUCAUCCGAUGUCUCUUCCAGGUGUUGCAGUCAUCUGGAUUUUUUCAACAGCACCAGAACGCACACCUAUGCAGGCUGCUGCUGUGCAGAUAAUCAAUACAAUUACUACAAUUACAAAUAGUUGCUUUAGCCAGGCCCAGCUGGGGAGCUGUCGCGAACCCCAAUUCCAGGUUGUUGCGGAUUCCCCAGGGCUCGGAGAACCAGAAUCUAGUCAGUUCGCUGGCCAAGCCGCGUGGGGAGUGCUGACAUGACCCAAUACGAGUGCAUCAAAAUCUCCGUUUGUUAUCCGUUGCUUACCCAUGUAUAUAGAUUGUGGCAAACGUGCGUCAGCUCGUAAUUGGUUGAAACAUUGCGAGAGCCCCCGGCCCUACAAUCCCAUUGGCCGUAGAGUCACACAUCUUGCUCGCCUAGCUACAGAUACAGCAUUAAUCGUCCCAUUGUUCUUUGUAUUUCAUUACUCAGUCUCUUCCCAGGCUAACUUCCCCCUUAUCUUAGCUGCAACUUCAGCUCCUUCUCUGUGCAUUCAUA
RNAcentral lists this long non-coding RNA (3145 nucleotides) under Gallus gallus (chicken). The record is from RNAcentral. Lineage: Eukaryota; Metazoa; Chordata; Aves; Galliformes; Phasianidae.